Molecule: ribosomal RNA, 504 nt
Filed under: uncultured bacterium
Lineage: Bacteria
Description: bacterial SSU rRNA
Rfam family: Bacterial small subunit ribosomal RNA
Source: RNAcentral
GAGUUUGAUCCUGGCUCAGGACGAACGCUGGCGGCGCGCCUAACACAUGCAAGUCGAACGGAGCUUAAAGAGCUUGCUUUUUAAGCUUAGUGGCGAACGGGUGAGUAACGCGUGAGGAACCUGCCUCAAAGAGGGGGACAACAGUUGGAAACGACUGCUAAUACCGCAUAAGCCCACGGUGCCGCAUGGCACAGAGGGAAAAGGAGCAAUCCGCUUUGAGAUGGCCUCGCGUCCGAUUAGCUGGUUGGUGAGGUAAUGGCCCACCAAGGCGACGAUCGGUAGCCGGACUGAGAGGUUGAACGGCCACAUUGGGACUGAGACACGGCCCAGACUCCUACGGGAGGCAGCAGUGGGGAAUAUUGCACAAUGGGGGAAACCCUGAUGCAGCGACGCCGCGUGGAGGAAGAAGGUCUUCGGAUUGUAAACUCCUGUUGUUGAGGAAGAUAAUGACGGUACUCAACAAGGAAGUGACGGCUAACUACGUGCCAGCAGCCGCGGUAAUUC